UGCGCUCAUAACAAAGCCACUGAGAGGCCUGAAAUCCCAACUACUGUAUUUGACAUGCUUUACAGAUGUUUCUACAUGCAUCAUUGUAACUUCUGUUUUUCACUAUAGGCUGUUCUUUUUGGAGUGGCACUGUUAAAGUUUCUGUUGCGUUUGUGCUUCAUCUUAUACCUGAAUGCAAGUUAUUGUAAUAUUGUCACUGAUGCCUAGCAACUGCCAAUUUCACAUUUUUAGACUUCCAGAAAGAAAACCUGAGAUAAAGCUGGCAUUCCACCUUCAUAGAGAGAUUUGAAAACCAAGAUUAGCCUAAGCACCUGGAAACCGAAGACAGAUGUAGCUAAGUUCCAUCUCCCUUAACUCUUCACCUCAUUCAUGUGUUUCUAUGUCUCAGGUGUUUUCUCUGCCCUUUCUGGUUUUGUGUAGUCGGCCAAAGGCCACCACUUCCUUGGUCCAUGCAUGGAUAUGGAUGCAAGUUGGAGGAAUUUGUGCUGGAGGUCCACUCCACUGUUGAUAGCGCCAACUCCCCUGAAACCUUUCAGGGAGAAGGGUUACUCAAGAUUCAUGGAGCCACAGGGAAGGUUAAGAAUAGGAUUGGUGAAGAGGACAGUCAGCUGGAUUGCUCUUCUCGGGAGUAACUUAAACAUCAAAUCAAACAAAAAUUCCUUAAAGUUUUGAAAGGAUGCUAUUGCUUAUGUAGUGGCCCAAACUGGCCAGGUAGGAUCAUCCUCUAAUCAGCCAGAUGGGAACAAAGAUUCAUGAAGAACAAAGGAAAAAUGGGAAAUGUUUUGCCUUGGUUAAUGGCUGUGACCAACUCGUUGAAGACCCUUUCUACAUGUUUUCCCAUGGAGACAUACCCUUCACAGUGAAGUUUACUGACAACAAACUUGCUUUUUGAAGUUACUCUCCCCUAAGCGUCACAGUCCCUGAACCACAAAAACCACUGGCGCAGAUUUUCUGUGAUCCAGUACCUCCUCUGGAGCGAUGAGACAGUGAGAUGGACCCAAGGCUGUGAUAAUUAAAACGUUUUGGGAUA
Long non-coding RNA from Tyto alba (common barn owl), 1030 nucleotides. RefSeq lists it as uncharacterized. The record is from RefSeq and is a predicted model, not a curated record. The transcript is spliced from 4 exons. NCBI's taxonomy places the organism in Eukaryota, Metazoa, Chordata, Aves, Strigiformes, Tytonidae.